AUCUAGCUGAUGAGUCUCAAGUAGUACGAAACCCGGGUCCUGGAU
Molecule: non-coding RNA, 45 nt
Filed under: Schistosoma mansoni
Lineage: Eukaryota; Metazoa; Platyhelminthes; Trematoda; Strigeidida; Schistosomatidae
Source: RNAcentral